Molecule: transfer RNA, 69 nt
Filed under: Sphaerodactylus townsendi
Lineage: Eukaryota; Metazoa; Chordata; Lepidosauria; Squamata; Sphaerodactylidae
Description: tRNA-Ala
Source: RNAcentral
GCUGUGGCUCAGUGGUGCAGCAUCUGCUCGGCAUUCAGAAGGUCCCAGGUUCCAUCCCCAGCAUCUCCA